UCCACUUUCAGAAUCAUUCUUUCAUUUCCAUCAAAGGUAGCCCAUGUAUACAGCUGAGAUGUUUUCUCAGCCUGCUUUCUGCCUGUAGAAGUUUGGGGACCCUAAGUCCUCUUUAUAAUUUGUUCUCUUUCUAUUCCUUUUAUUUUUAAUUUUUCCAUGUUAGGACAGGCAAAAGUAUUGCUAAACUUUCUGCUGUUUUAUAACAAGGAUUCUCGUUUCUCCAUUUUAAAAUAACAUUUCCCCUACUUUUUUUUUUUGUUCUCAAAGGCCAUCAGGCUUCUACUAACAAUAUCUGUAAUAUUCUUUAGGCUUUCAUUAACACUACCCUCAAAGUCCUUCCAGCUCUUAACCAAUACUCAGUCUAGAUUUACACCCACAUUUUUAGUUUUUUGUCAUGACUUGCUCAACUUCCAGGUACCGAAGCCUUCAUACUCAAAAUGAACUCCAAAACUUAGCACCUUAAAACAAUAUUACACAUUGUACAUAGUUUCUGUGUGUCAGGAAUUCAGGAGUGAUGUAAGCUGGUGGUUCUGGUUUGGGGGUCUCUCAUGAACUUACUGUCAAGGUGUUGACUGGGGACUGAAGUCACUUGAAGGCUUGACUGUGUAGAGUAUCUUCCAAGGUGGCUCAGUCCAAUGGUUGGCAAGGUAUGCUGGUGUUGGCUGGGUCCUGGCCCUAAGGAUGCUUGAGUGUUAUUGUUAAUUGUAUCAUGAGAGCUGGCUUCUUCCAGGGCAAUUGAUUUAAGAGAGCAAGCUGAAAGCCCCAAUUUCUCUUUAUAACCUAGCUUUAAAACUCACAUGCCACCAUUUCUGCAAAAUCCUAGUUGUUACAUGGUCAGCCCUACUGAAUAUGGGAGGAGAUUAUACAAGGAUAUGAAAACCAGGAUGCAGGAUCAUCAGGGACUAUCUCAGAAGCUGGCUGUUAGUAUCUUUUCUCAUUAUUUUUUCCUAUAAUUAAUAAUUACCUGAUUUGUUUAUCUGAUUAGCUUUACAUGUCUUAAUCUUUAUUUUUUCUCUAAGGCUUCAUCAUCUUUCAAAUACCUGGGAAUUAUUUUUGCACAGCUUGAAAUGUAUUAGAUUAUUUCUGCUUCCAUUGUUUUCUUAUGAACAUUAUCCUUCAUGUCCUCCAUCUUUUUUUUUUUUUUUUUUUUUGGUGGACGGUGGGGGAUGGAGUCUCACUCCGCUGCCCAGGCUGGAGAGCAUAUGGGUUUUAUUUUUGUUUUUCCAUUGGUAAACUCUCAAUUUUCAUUGUGCAGAGAUCAUUCCUCUGGAGCCGAUUAGUUUCUCCAAAGAAGAAUC
Molecule: long non-coding RNA, 1298 nt
Filed under: Homo sapiens (human)
Lineage: Eukaryota; Metazoa; Chordata; Mammalia; Primates; Hominidae
Description: non-protein coding lnc-PPP1R3B-8:1
Source: RNAcentral